RNAcentral lists this ribosomal RNA (253 nucleotides) under uncultured bacterium. Its description in RNAcentral is "partial 16S ribosomal RNA". It matches the Rfam family "Bacterial small subunit ribosomal RNA", at positions 524 to 776 of the family's 1533-position model. The record is from RNAcentral.
UACAGAGGGUGCGAGCGUUAAUCGGAAUUACUGGGCGUAAAGCGUGCGUAGACGGUUAUUUAAGUCGGAUGUGAAAGCCCCGGGCUCAACCUGGGAAUUGCAUUCGAGACUGAAUAGCUAGGGUGCGGUAGAGGGAAGCGGAAUUUCCGGUGUAGCGGUGAAAUGCGUAGAGAUCGGGAGGAAUACCAGUGGCGAAAGCGGCACCCUGGCGUCGUACUGACGCACAUGUGCGAAAGCGUGGGGAGCGAACGGG